Long non-coding RNA from Betta splendens (Siamese fighting fish), 608 nucleotides. RefSeq lists it as uncharacterized. The record is from RefSeq and is a predicted model, not a curated record. The transcript is spliced from 4 exons. Lineage: Eukaryota; Metazoa; Chordata; Actinopteri; Anabantiformes; Osphronemidae.
GAAGGAGCCUCCUGGGUACUGUGGCUGGAUGGAGCAGCGGAUUGUGAAGCUUAAACCUUUGAACACCUGCAACCCCUGCUGACGGGCCUGGGAGACCCCGUCAGUGGAGGAAACAGAGAUGACUGGCUGAAGCAGCAGAAACAACAGAACCACAGUCCAGCUCUCUACAGACAAUAUCUGCUUCCUUCAGUGUCCAGCCAGAUCCAUCCACUGGUCUCCAGUCUUCUUCAUGCUUCAUCUCCAGUCUACCUGCACAGCGACUGUUUCCUCCCAUCAACCUGAUCUCAUAAGGUUGUGUUCAGGGCCUGCAGGGAACAUUUCCUGAAUUCCUGACUCUGGACUUGUUCUACUUCUGAUACUUCUGAUGAGCUUACCUGAGCAGAAACAGCAGAACCACAGUCCAGCGCUCCACAGGCAACAGCUGCUUUCUUCAGUGUCCAGGCAGUUCCAACUCCUGGUCUCCAUUCACCUUCAUUUUUAGCAUCCAGUCUACCUGCACAGCGGCUGUCUCCUCCCUCCAACCUGAACCCAUCGGAUUCUGUAGAGAAGCACAGUCAUCAUUAAAAGCUGAAAGUAAACUGUGAUGGCUGCUUUUGGGAUUCUUUUUU